UCCGGCUUAACACCGGCGGUCUCCUUAGAGUGCCCGGCCGAACCGCUGGUAACUAAGGACAAGGGUUUCGCUCGUUAAAGGACUUAACCAAACAUCUCACAACACGAGCUGACGACAGCCAUGCAGCACCUGUGUACGUUCCGGUCUUGCGACUGUCCCUCGCCUUUCAACGAGUUAAUCCGUACAUGUCAAGUCUAGGAUAAGGUUCUUCGCGUAGCCUCGAAUUAAGCCACAUGCUCCACCGCUGGUGUGAGCCCCCGUCAAUUCCUUUGAGUUUCAGCCUUGCGACCAUACUCCCCAGGCGGGGUACUUAACACUUUCGCUACGGCAGGAGGCGUCAUCGGUACGCUUCCUACCCAGUACCCAUCGUUUAAGGCUAGGACUAC
RNAcentral lists this unclassified non-coding RNA (386 nucleotides) under uncultured Planctomycetia bacterium. Its description in RNAcentral is "contains 16S-23S intergenic spacer region". Lineage: Bacteria; Pseudomonadati; Planctomycetota; Planctomycetia. The record is from RNAcentral.